RNAcentral lists this ribosomal RNA (495 nucleotides) under uncultured bacterium. RNAcentral describes it as "partial 16S ribosomal RNA". It matches the Rfam family "Bacterial small subunit ribosomal RNA", at positions 28 to 507 of the family's 1533-position model. The record is from RNAcentral.
GACGAACGCUGGCGGCGUGCCUAAUACAUGCAAGUAGAACGCUGAAGGAGGAGCUUGCUCUUCUGGAUGAGUUGCGAACGGGUGAGUAACGCGUAGGUAACCUGCCUGGUAGCGGGGGAUAACUAUUGGAAACGAUAGCUAAUACCGCAUAACAGUAGAUGUUGCAUGACAUUUACUUAAAAGGUGCAAUUGCAUCACUACCAGAUGGACCUGCGUUGUAUUAGCUAGUUGGUGGGGUAAAGGCUCACCAAGGCGACGAUACAUAGCCGACCUGAGAGGGGGAUCGGCCACAAUGGGAAUGAGACAAGGCCCAGAAUCCUACGGGAGGCAGCAGUAGGGAAUCUUCGGCAAUGGACGGAAGUCUGACCGAGCAACGCCGCGUGAGUGAAGAAGGUUUUCGGAUCGUAAAGCUCUGUUGUAAGAGAAGAAAGAGUGUGAGAGUGGAAAGUUCACACUGUGACGGUAUCUUACCAGAAAGGGACGGCUAACUACGUG